This 139-nucleotide signal recognition particle RNA is filed under the name Tautonia plasticadhaerens. RNAcentral describes it as "Planctomycetes bacterium ElP Bacteria_large_SRP". The stretch from base 23 to 120 matches the Rfam family "Bacterial small signal recognition particle RNA". Rfam says of the family: The signal recognition particle (SRP) is a universally conserved ribonucleoprotein involved in the co-translational targeting of proteins to membranes. Archaeal SRP consists of a 7S RNA and homologues of the eukaryotic SRP19 and SRP54 proteins. Lineage: Bacteria; Pseudomonadati; Planctomycetota; Planctomycetia; Isosphaerales; Isosphaeraceae. The record is from RNAcentral.
CCCGAGGGGGCCCGGGUGAGUCGGGGGGGACCCGGGCAAUGGAGGCGCGUGAACCUGGUCAGGGCGGGAACGCAGCAGCCAUAAGCGCGUCCUUCAUGUGCCCGGGAGCACCUCCCCGGCUCUCCCGGCCCCCCUCGGG